CUUGAGGAUGGGUUCGAGCCCCUUCUUUCUAG
This 32-nucleotide transfer RNA is filed under the name Coregonus lavaretus (common whitefish). Its description in RNAcentral is "partial tRNA-Gln". Lineage: Eukaryota; Metazoa; Chordata; Actinopteri; Salmoniformes; Salmonidae. The record is from RNAcentral.